This 378-nucleotide ribosomal RNA is filed under the name uncultured bacterium. RNAcentral's name for it is "partial 16S ribosomal RNA". It matches the Rfam family "Bacterial small subunit ribosomal RNA", at positions 338 to 733 of the family's 1533-position model. The record is from RNAcentral.
CCUACGGGUGGCAGCAGUGGGGAAUAUUCCACAAUGGGGGAAACCCUGAUGCAGCGACGCCGCGUGCGCGAUGAAGUAUUUCGGUAUGUAAAGCUCUGUCAGCAGGGAAGAAAAUGACGGUACCUGACUAAGUACCUACUGCUAAAUACGUGCCAGCAGCCGCGGUAAUACGAAUGGAGCACACGUUAUCCGGAAAUACUGUGUGAAACGGGAGCGUAGGCUGUAAGGCAAGUCUGAUAGGAAAGGCCAGGGGUCAAACCUGGGAGUGCAUUGGAUACUGUUUAACUGGAGUGACUGAGAGGCAAGUGGAAUUCCUAGUGUAGCGGUGAAAUGCGUAGAUAUUAGGAGGAACACCAGUGGCGAAGGCAGCUUGCUGGA